AUUGAACGCUGGCGGCAGGCCUAACACAUGCAAGUCGAACGAGUGGCGGACGGGUGAGUAAUGUCUGGGAAACUGCGUGAUGGAGGGGGAUAACUACUGGAAACGGUAGCUAAUACCGCAUACCAUCGGAGGGGCACAGUUGGGAUUAGCUAGUAGGGGGGGUAAAGGCUCACCGAGGCGACGCUCCCUGCCUGGUCUGAGAGGAUGACCAGCCUCACUGGAACUGAGACACCGUCCCGACCCCUACGGGGGGCAUCGUUGGGGAAUAUUGCACAAUGGGCGCAAGCCUGAUGCAGCCAUGCCGCGUGUAUGAAGAAGGCCUUCGGGUUGUAAAGUACUUUCAUCGGGGAGGCGUUACCCGCAGAAGAAGCACCGGCUAACUCCGUGCCAGCAGCCGCGGUAAUA
This 405-nucleotide ribosomal RNA is filed under the name uncultured bacterium. Its description in RNAcentral is "partial 16S ribosomal RNA". It matches the Rfam family "Bacterial small subunit ribosomal RNA", at positions 30 to 525 of the family's 1533-position model. The record is from RNAcentral.